RNAcentral lists this ribosomal RNA (253 nucleotides) under uncultured bacterium. Its description in RNAcentral is "partial 16S ribosomal RNA". It matches the Rfam family "Bacterial small subunit ribosomal RNA", at positions 524 to 776 of the family's 1533-position model. The record is from RNAcentral.
UACGUAGGUGGCAAGCGUUGUCCGGAAUUAUUGGGCGUAAAGGGUGCGUAGGUGGCUCUUUAAGUGGGAUGUGAAAGCCCUUGGCUUAACCAAGGAUGUGCAUUCCAAACUGGAGAGCUAGAGUGCAGGAGAGGAAAGUGGAAUUCCUAGUGUAGCGGUGAAAUGCGUAGAGAUUAGGAGGAACACCAGUGGCGAAGGCGACUUUCUGGACUGUAACUGACACUGAGGCACGAAAGCGUGGGGAGCAAACAGG